GAUGAUAGCUUGCUAUCAGGCGUCGAGCGGCGGACGGGUGAGUAAUACUUAGGAAUCUACCUAGUAGUGGGGGAUAGCUCGGGGAAACUCGAAUUAAUACCGCAUACGACCUACGGGAGAAAGGGGGCAACUUGUUGCUCUCGCUAUUAGAUGAGCCUAAGUCGGAUUAGCUAGAUGGUGGGGUAAAGGCCUACCAUGGCGACGAUCUGUAGCUGGUCUGAGAGGAUGAUCAGCCACACCGGGACUGAGACACGGCCCGGACUCCUACGGGAGGCAGCAGUGGGGAAUAUUGGACAAUGGGGGCAACCCCGAUCCAGCCAUGCCGCGUGUGUGAAGAAGGCCUUUUGGUUGUAAAGCACUUUAAGCAGUGAAGAAGACUCCAUGGUUAAUACCCAUGGACGAUGACAUUAGCUGCAGAAUAAGCACCGGCUAACUCUGUGCCAGCAGCCGCGGUAAUACAGAGGGUGCAAGCGUUAAUCGGAAUUACUGGGCGUAAAGCGAGCGUAGGUGGCUUGAUAAGUCAGAUGUGAAAUCCCCGGGCUUAACCUGGGAACUGCAUCUGAUACUGUUAGGCUAGAAUAGGUGAGAGGAAGGUAGAAUUCCAGGUGUAGCGGUGAAAUGCGUAGAGAUCUGGAGGAAUACCGAUGGCGAAGGCAGCCUUC
Molecule: ribosomal RNA, 662 nt
Filed under: uncultured Psychrobacter sp.
Lineage: Bacteria; Pseudomonadati; Pseudomonadota; Gammaproteobacteria; Moraxellales; Moraxellaceae
Description: bacterial SSU rRNA
Rfam family: Bacterial small subunit ribosomal RNA
Source: RNAcentral